AUUGAACGCUGGCGGCAUGCCUUACACAUGCAAGUCGAACGGCAGCACGGGUGCUUGCACCUGGUGGCGAGUGGCGAACGGGUGAGUAAUGCAUCGGAACGUGCCCAGUCGUGGGGGAGUAACGCAGCGAAGUUAGUUGCUAAUACCGCAUACGUCCUGAGGGAGAAAGACAGGGGAGUCUUCGGACCGUUGUGCGAUUGGAGCGGCCGGAUGUCAGAUUAGCUAGUUGGUGAGGUAAGAGCUCACCAAGGCGACGAUCUGUAGCUGGUCUGAGAGGAUGAUCAGCCACACUGGAACUGAGACACGGUCCAGACUCCUACGGGAGGCAGCAGUGGGGGAAUUUUGGUCAAUGGACGCAAGUCUGAACCAGCCACGUCGCGUGAAGGAAGACGGCCCUACGGGUUGUAAACUUCUUUUGCAAGGGAAUAAAGUGGGCCACGUGUGGCCUUUUGCAAGUACCUUGCGAAUAAGGAUCGGCUAACUCCGUG
Molecule: ribosomal RNA, 488 nt
Filed under: uncultured bacterium
Lineage: Bacteria
Description: bacterial SSU rRNA
Rfam family: Bacterial small subunit ribosomal RNA
Source: RNAcentral